This 424-nucleotide ribosomal RNA is filed under the name uncultured bacterium. RNAcentral describes it as "bacterial SSU rRNA". It matches the Rfam family "Bacterial small subunit ribosomal RNA", at positions 954 to 1392 of the family's 1533-position model. The record is from RNAcentral.
GCAUAACGCGAAGAACCUUACCCAGGUUUGACAUCCCGAGAAGGCUUCCGAAAGGAAACUGUGCUUUAUUGAACUCGGUGACAGGUGAUGCAUGGCCGUCGUCAGCUCGUGUCGUGAGAUGUAUGGUUAAGUCCAUUAACGAGCGCAACCCUUAUGUUUAGUUGGAUUUUCUAAACAGACUGCCCUGGUAACAGGGAGGAAGGAGGGGAUGAUGUCAGGUCAGUAUUUCCCUUACAUCUGGGGCUACAAACACGCUACAAUGGCCGGUAACAAAGGGCAGCCAACCCGCAAGGGGGAGCUAAUCCCAUCAAAGCCGGUCUCAGUUCGGAUUGCAGGCUGAAACUCGCCUGCAUGAAGCUGGAAUCGCUAGUAACGGUAAGUCAGCACAUUACCGUGAAUACGUUCCCGGGUCUUGUACACACCG